CAGGCUUAACACAUGCAAGUCGAGGGGCAGCAUGGUCUUAGCUUGCUAAGGCCGAUGGCGACCGGCGCACGGGUGAGUAACACGUAUCCAACCUGCCGUCUACUCUUGGACAGCCUUCUGAAAGGAAGAUUAAUACAAGAUGGCAUCAUGAGUCCGCAUGUUCACAUGAUUAAAGGUAUUCCGGUAGACGAUGGGGAUGCGUUCCAUUAGAUAGUAGGCGGGGUAACGGCCCACCUAGUCUUCGAUGGAUAGGGGUUCUGAGAGGAAGGUCCCCCACAUUGGAACUGAGACACGGUCCAAACUCCUACGGGAGGCAGCAGUGAGGAAUAUUGGUCAAUGGGCGAGAGCCUGAACCAGCCAAGUAGCGUGAAGGAUGACUGCCCUAUGGGUUGUAAACUUCUUUUAUAAAGGAAUAAAGUCGGGUAUGGAUACCCGUUUGCAUGUACUUUAUGAAUAAGGAUCGGCUAACUCCGUGCCAGCAGCCGCGGUAAUACGGAGGAUCCGAGCGUUAUCCGGAUUUAUUGGGUUUAAAGGGAGCGUAGAUGGACGUUUAAGUCAGUUGUGAAAGUUUGCGGCUCAACCGUAAAAUUGCAGUUGAUACUGGAUAUCUUGAGUGCAGUUGAGGCAGGCGGAAUUCGUGGUGUAGCGGUGAAAUGCUUAGAUAUCACGAAGAACUCCGAUUGCGAAGGCAGCCUGCUAAGCUGCAACUGACAUUGAGGCUCGAAAGUGUGGGUAUCAAACAGGAUUAGAUACCCUGGUAGUCCACACGGUAAACGAUGAAUACUCGCUGUUUGCGAUAUACUGCAAGCGGCCAAGCGAAAGCGUUAAGUAUUCCACCUGGGGAGUACGCCGGCAACGGUGAAACUCAAAGGAAUUGACGGGGGCCCGCACAAGCGGAGGAACAUGUGGUUUAAUUCGAUGAUACGCGAGGAACCUUACCCGGGCUUAAAUUGCAGAUGAAUUACGGUGAAAGCCGUAAGCCGCAAGGCAUCUGUGAAGGUGCUGCAUGGUUGUCGUCAGCUCGUGCCGUGAGGUGUCGGCUUAAGUGCCAUAACGAGCGCAACCCUUGUUGUCAGUUACUAACAGGUUCCGCUGAGGACUCUGACAAGACUGCCAUCGUAAGAUGUGAGGAAGGUGGGGAUGACGUCAAAUCAGCACGGCCCUUACGUCCGGGGCUACACACGUGUUACAAUGGGGGGUACAGAGGGCCGCUACCACGCGAGUGGAUGCCAAUCCCCAAAACCUCUCUCAGUUCGGACUGGAGUCUGCAACCCGACUCCACGAAGCUGGAUUCGCUAGUAAUCGCGCAUCAGCCACGGCGCGGUGAAUACGUUCCCGGGCCUUGUACACACCGCCCGUCAAGCCAUGGGAGCCGGGGGUACCUGAAGUGCGUAACCGCGAGGAGCGCCCUAGGGUAAAACUGGUGACUGGGGCUAAGU
RNAcentral lists this ribosomal RNA (1439 nucleotides) under uncultured organism. RNAcentral's name for it is "16S ribosomal RNA". It matches the Rfam family "Bacterial small subunit ribosomal RNA". The record is from RNAcentral.